UACGUAGGGUGCGAGCGUUUAAUCGGAAUUACUGGGCGUAAAGCGUGCGCAGGCGGUUCGUUGUGUCGGCGGUGAAAGCCCCGGGCUCAACCUGGGAAUGGCCGUUGAAACUGGCGAACUGGAGUGUGGCAGAGGGGGGUGGAUUCCGCGUGUAGCAGUGAAAUGCGUAGAGAUGCGGAGGAACACCGAUGGUGAAGGCAGCCCCCCUGGGCUGACAC
RNAcentral lists this ribosomal RNA (218 nucleotides) under uncultured bacterium. RNAcentral's name for it is "partial 16S ribosomal RNA". It matches the Rfam family "Bacterial small subunit ribosomal RNA", at positions 524 to 740 of the family's 1533-position model. The record is from RNAcentral.